UACGGAGGGUGCGAGCGUUGUCCGGAAUCACUGGGCGUAAAGGGCGCGUAGGCGGCGCGACAAGGCGGCGGUGAAAGUCCGGGGCUCAACCCCGGAUCGGCCGUGGCGACUGUCGCGCUCGAGCACAGUAGAGGCGGGUGGAAUUCCGGGUGUAGCGGUGGAAUGCGUAGAGAUCCGGAAGAACACCGGUGGCGAAGGCGGCCCGCUGGGCUGUGGCUGACGCUGAGGCGCGACAGCGUGGGGAGCAAACGGG
This 253-nucleotide ribosomal RNA is filed under the name uncultured bacterium. RNAcentral describes it as "partial 16S ribosomal RNA". It matches the Rfam family "Bacterial small subunit ribosomal RNA", at positions 524 to 776 of the family's 1533-position model. The record is from RNAcentral.